GGUCCUCUGUGGGCAUCUUACUAGACAGUGCUGGAUUUCUUGGAUCUAUUCUAACACUGUCUGGUAACGAUGUUUAAAGGGUGAACC
This is a microRNA precursor of Gallus gallus (chicken), 87 nucleotides long. Ensembl annotates it as gga-mir-200a. Its record names the gene gga-mir-200a. NCBI's taxonomy places the organism in Eukaryota, Metazoa, Chordata, Aves, Galliformes, Phasianidae. The record is from Ensembl.